Molecule: ribosomal RNA, 336 nt
Filed under: Triticum aestivum (bread wheat)
Lineage: Eukaryota; Viridiplantae; Streptophyta; Magnoliopsida; Poales; Poaceae
Description: partial small subunit ribosomal RNA
Source: RNAcentral
UUCAACAUAGUUGUGGAUAUGUUGGCUGUUCUGUUAGGUAGGGCCAAGGAGGCAGGCCAAGUUGGAGGCUUGGUGCCUCAUUUAGUUGAUGGAGGUAUCUCCAUCCUGCAGUACGCUGAUGAUACUAUUAUCUUCAUGGAGCAUGACUUGGUAAAAGCGAGAAAUAUGAAGCUGUUGCUUUGUUUGUUUGAGCAAUUGAGUGGGCUCAAAAUUAACUUCCAUAAAAGCGAGUUAUUCUGCUUUGGUAGAGCCAAAGAGGAACAAGAAUCCUAUAAACAACUGUUUGGGUGUGGUUUGGGGGAGCUGCCAUUCACAUACCUAGGAAUUCCUAUACAU